This is a non-coding RNA of Cherax quadricarinatus, 2615 nucleotides long. NCBI's taxonomy places the organism in Eukaryota, Metazoa, Arthropoda, Malacostraca, Decapoda, Parastacidae. The record is from RefSeq and is a predicted model, not a curated record.
UAGGUGAAGACGUGAAGACAGGACCUUUGAGGUUAGAGCGAAUCUGGCAAGCGGCAAGCUGAAGCGAGGCCAGGAGCUAAGACUCGACCUCUGCAACCACAUAUAGGUUAAAUCAGCAUACACACCCGGGAUGAUCUGAGCUCAUCAGUCAGGAGGGUUAGCUCUGACGGGUCUCCCCUCAAGGAAGGUUCCUUGACGCUGGUAUAUUCAUAAAGAACAUAGGUGUGAAUGUGGAGGAUCCUGUGUAGUGAAGGUAAAACAGGAGCCGCGUGUAUGUGUAUGUAGGAAGCUGUACAUUCUGAGCUCACUCAGUGUGGUGUUGGAUGUGCGAAGGGACGGGUACGCGGCGCAAUGGCUGAACAGGGAGCACGUAACGACAGCGGCCUCCAGAUAUCUGAAGCUGCUUUGUCUAAACCCGUAGCCAACGGGGAAAAGGUACCAGCCAGAGGUCUUGCGUCAAUGUUAAGUGGGUCAACUUUCGGACGACGUGGUUUUUUUUUUUUUUUUAAUAAAUAUGAAAAUUAAAAUUGUUUUCAAAUACAAUAAAAUAAGAUGCAUUCAGUAUGGUUUGUUUGUUAUAGCUAUAAUGUAAUGGUAAGCGAUGUUCCUCUGUGUAAAAGCAAGCAUAAGUUUUGUAUGCUGCGGUGUAAAAAAUCGGCUCACAUCUAAAGGCAUUACAAAAUUAUAUGUUUGAUAAUUGAAAUAUUUGAAAUAAUUAAAUCAGCCUGAUAAAUCAGAAUGAGUUUCUUUUUUUGUUGGAUUUAUGAUUGUACAGUAUUUUCCUAAUGUUACAGUUCUGGAGAAUGUUGGAAACAAGUGCUACAAGGAAAAUAACCCUGUUUUUUGUAACAGUUGUUUUUUACUACUAAAUUAACUAUCACUGCUUGGAAGAAUAUGAAUUUACAGCUGUAUUUUUCUGUUUUGAGAUGUCAUGGAUGCUUCAACUUGACCACUUGUCAUCUUUGGGAUUAAUUCUUUCCAAGUGGGAGGCUUUGAUGCCUUUGAAGAUGUCUUAAUCCAAGGAAUUGGAGUUACUCUUGAUAAAAUCUGAUGUCAUCCUUUUCCCCAGGCACUAUAUGACCCCCAUGUGUGUAGCUGUACCCUGUGAAUACAAUAAUUUGGGGGUUCUUGCUCAUAUUUUAGGAUGCACUUUGGUAAGUUUGCUUCUAGGACCGAGCAAAUUAAUUUGUUGGUUAUCCUCUCAAUCCUAGACAAGUCUGUAAAUGUUUAGCUAUUUAAGUAAUAAAAUUUUUUCAUUACCAUAUGGUAUACAGUGGAGCAUCGAAAUGCAUGUACUGUAUAGUAUAUAGGAAUACUCAUUAUUGAUAAUGCUUUCGAUGUAAUGCCUCAUAGUUAUCAAAAUUAGAAAAACUUGAAGCAAACUACAUAUGUCAUUAUUAUGAUUUAAAUAUCAAAUAGACUUAGCCGGUACAGAACAAAAAGGUACAACACCUUGACUGGAACAAUACACAACUAACCCAAUGUUCGGGUUAUUUGUGUAAACUUAGCCAGUCUUUGUCAUGUCUUAAAAAAUUUGUAUUGUAUAUUGUGGAUAGCCUCUUCCUUGGCAUUCCAAAAAGGUUGUCUAUACCUGGCAUGCAAGAUUGUUCUUCAUCAAAGGGUAUCCCAGCAUUAGUUGAAAGUUCAGCUUGCAUCCUUCCAGCAGUUCUGUAUUUUUUACACAUGGGCAGGAUAGGUUGAUGCUACCUCUUCACAGGAAGGCAGAAUAUUUGAGUGGCAGAUGCAGUUCAGUACAGAUAAAUACAGUGGACCCCCGCAUAACGAUCACCUUCGAAUGCGACCAAUUAUGUAAGUGUAUUUAUGUAAGUGCGUUUGUACGUGUAUGUUUGGGGGUCUGAAAUGGACUGAUCUACUUCACAAUAUUCCUUAUGGGAACAAAUUCGGUCAGUACUGGCACCUGAACAUACUUCUGGAGUGAAAAAAUAUCGUUAACCGGGGGUCCACUGUACAAGGAUUUACUUCUAGGAAAAGAAAUUAACUGGCAUAUACAAGGUAAAUAAUUUAGAUCUUAUUCAAACUGAACAUGAAAAAGUUUAAGGAGUUCUGGUUAGCAGAAAUGUAAAACUAAGAAAACGGUGCAUAAGUAUUUGCGAUGCAACUAAUAGAAUUCUUGGCUUCAUAUUGAGAAGUAUAAUAGAAGUCAUGAGGUGAUAAUUUAACUCUAUAUUUCUUUGGUAAAGCUUCAUUUAAAUUAUGCUGCUAAUUUCUGGCCUCCAUAUUACAAAAUGGACAUAAAUGAGCUGGAAAGUUUUUAGAGAAGGAUGGUAAAGUUAAUCAAGUGUAUUGGAAAUCUUUCCUAUGAAAAUAGCCUUAAGGCACUGAAUUUGUAGUGUGUGGAAUGACUUAAAAUUAGGGGAUAUGAUUGAAUUGAACAAAUAUAAAUACGUAAAUAGUUUUUUAACACGCCUACCGUCACCCACCAAUAUGGGGUGACUCAAAAACGAGCAAAAACAUUAAUCAUUUAGUCAGUUAUGCCACAAGUAUGCUGACAUCACAGUUCAGAUGGUCCUUUGAACUGCAACAGUCUUAUCCGUCUUUUAGAAUGCAGGCACACAUUUGAUAUACCUUUGAAGAGUUUCGAGAGUUUCACUACU